This 331-nucleotide ribosomal RNA is filed under the name uncultured prokaryote. RNAcentral describes it as "bacterial SSU rRNA". It matches the Rfam family "Bacterial small subunit ribosomal RNA", at positions 26 to 353 of the family's 1533-position model. The record is from RNAcentral.
AGAUUGAACGCUAGCGGCAUGCCUAACACAUGCAAGUCGAACGGUAACAGGCCCUUCGGGGUGCUGACGAGUGGCGGACGGUGAGUAAUUGCGUAGGAAUCUACCCACGAGUAGGGGGAUAGUCCCGGAGAAAAUCCGGAUUUAAUACCGCAUAGUGACCCUUACGGGGUAAAGCGGGGGAUCGUAAGACCUCGCGCUGGCGGAUGAGCCUAGUCCGAUUAGUUAGUUGGUGGGUAAAGGCCUGCCAAGGCUACGAUCGGUAGCUGGUCUGAGAGGACGACCAGCCACACUGGGACUGAGACACGGCCCAGACUCCUACGGGAGGCAGGCG